Molecule: long non-coding RNA, 3987 nt
Filed under: Homo sapiens (human)
Lineage: Eukaryota; Metazoa; Chordata; Mammalia; Primates; Hominidae
Description: HSALNT0390217
Source: RNAcentral
UAUCUCUUAUAAAAUCAUACAGGAAACAUUAUCAAACAUAAAAUGAUGUUUGACUUUCUUUAUUCUAAAAACUAAUAAAAAUAGGUGCUAAAAAUUUUCCAAAUGAAAAUAAAUAUUGCUAAACCAAAGAGAAAUGUUAUCUAAGCCCCGUAUAAAAAAUAAAUAAAUCUUGUUCCAAUUGCAUCAAAAAACCCAUUAAGGGCCCUCCAGCACAGGGUUAAUACCAACGAGUUUCCACCUCCAGCUGCUCCUAGAGUGGCCACAGCAUGAGCCAUCUGGUGGGGGACCUAGCCGCCAACAGACACUUCCUGUACAGGGGAGGGGGGAGGGGGCCAGGCAGCCGUUAGACAGCACAACCGAACCCAACACCGGGGCCCAACGGCAGGGGCUUGGGCAGGAGCAAGGUCCGAGGGCUGCCAGGUCCACGCUGCUUUUAUGAGCUGUAACACUCACCGCGAAGAUCUGCAGCUUCACUCCUGAGCCCAGCGAGACCACGAGCCCACCGGGAGGAACAAACAACUCCAGACGCGCUGCCUUAAGAGCUGUAACACUUGCCGUGAAGGUCUGCAGCUUCACUCCUGAGCCAGCGAGACCACGAACCCACCAGAAGGAAGAAACUCCGAACACAUCUCAACAUCAGAACGGACAGACUCCAGACGCACCACCUUAAGAGCUGUAACACUCACCGCGAGGUUCCGCGGCUUCAUUCUUGAAGUCAGUAAGACCAAGAACCCACCAAUUCCGGACACAGUAGCAUUUGGGAAUAAUAAGAAUUGUAGCUGGGCAUGGUGGUACACGCCUGUAGACCCCUAGCAGCUGCCAUCAUCCUCACCAUCCGCAUAUUAUUGAUAUAUUAACUCUUUGAUGGCAACCAUAGCUUAUCCCCCUUAUCUCCCUAUGCCCUACAGCAGGGCAGUGGAAUGGUUAAGAGGCUUUGAAGUCUAAGAGUGCUGGCUUAAAACCCUAAUUUGUCAUUUUGGAUGUGUGGCUUUGGACACUUGGGGCAGGUCACCUAUGUUCUUCAAGCCCUGUAUCCUUAUCUGUCAGAUGAUGAUUUUUUUUUUUUUAGACGAAGUCUCACUCUCUUGCCCGGGCUGGAGUGCAGUGGCAUGAUCUCGGCUUACUGCAAGCUCCACCUCCCGGGUUGACGCCAUUCUCCUGCCUCAGCUUCCUGAGUAGCUGGGACUACAGGCUCCUGCCACCACCCGUGGCUAAUUUUUUUGUAUUUUUAGUAGAGACAGGGUUUCACCAUGUUAGCCAGGAUGGUCUCGAUCUCCUGACCUCGUGAUCUGCCCGCCCCAGCCUCCCAAAGUAUCAGAUGAUUUUAACAACUAUGCUUCCAUGACUUGCUGGGCUAGAUGAUAUGACUGUAAAAUGCCUAACCCAUGGUUUAGCAUCAAGUAAGCAAAUUGUAAAUGGUAGCACUGCUCUGCCUAUGACUAUUUAGUCUUGUGCUUUAAACUCAAAUAUUUGUUGGCCUACUGAAGUCACCACACAGAGAAAGAUGCUUUUCAUUCUCAGUAAAGAACUUUGGGAGAUAACUGGGGCAGGCAGCAAGAGAACAGAUGUCAUAUGUCUAGCAUCAGCAAACUCAUCAGAACUGAUGGGCAGCUCACUUUGCUUAGAACCUGCACCAGCAUACACACGGGGCUGCUUCCCAGUCACACUGCUCCUGGGAAGGUAGGGGGGCUGCUGUUCUGCAAUUAGCGCGGUUCUUUACCUCCUAUUACCGAACUGCCAGAGUUCAUUUGUGUUCAGUUAGGUAGAUGACCAAUUCUUGUUCAUUCCUAUUUUCUUUUGCUCACUAAUGUGUUUAACGUUCACUAACCUACCAAAUGUGAUUUAUUAGCGACUUUUUCUUUGAAGAUGGAGUGGAGGAAUCCUAGCGCUUUCUGCAACAUGCUACUGCUGUUAUGGAACAGUGCAGAUAUGGAAGUGCAUCAGCCGGGGAUGGGGAGAGGCUAGGGCAGUACAUGUGAAUGGAGAGGUAGCCCCACCAGUGUGUUUUCUGAAAUACAGUCCCGCAGAGGGCAGUCUUGGGAAAUUACUGUUCUCACACACUCUUCUUGACCCUACCCCUCCAGCACCUCCCUUGCUAUCCAAGGGUUGGGAUUUUUAAAAAGAAAAACAAAUUUUAAAAAAAGCAGUGUGAAUCUUUUGCCAUCUUGUAAGGGUGAAAAGCCCCCUACCAAGUCGGGAUGAACAUUCAUGCGUGUGCUUGAGGGCUUGGGAAAAAGACAGGGCUUGGCCCCACAGUGCAGGUAGGCCCAGUGAUCCUAUAAUAGGGGCCAGGAGAUGGGAGGUCCCCUGUGGGCAGGAGUUCAAGUAUGUGGUAUUAUAUGACUGGUGCUUGAUGAACCCAGGGAGAGGGCACCAAAAACAAUGGUAUUUAAUUGUAAAAUCUCCACCCCCUGAGGAUAUGUUUUCAGGUCUGGGUGACUAAUUAGACUGGGAAACAAGGGCAGGAACGAUGGCCCUGUGCUUGCUCUGCCCGCUGCCUCUGUGGAUGUGUGGGCUGCUGGCUUCAGUCCUGCUUUUCUUUCUGAUGGUAUUGUUUAUGCUAUGUGUUUUUGCAGGAGGCCUGAGGUGGGCUGGGUUCUCCUCCUAUGGCAGGGCUUCACUCUCCUCCUCCUUCUCUGUUGGGGCUUCACUGUCCCUGGGAUAAGAAUAACAAUGCCAAGGUUUUCAUUCUUGAAAGGAGCAAUUAAGCGUCUCACCCCCUCCUCAUUUUAGAUGGGAACUGUGAGGGUCCCGUCAUUUACCCAGGGUCCCUGUUGAGGAUCUUGUCCUCAUUAGAUGACUUCUUGUGCAGCUUCCAUGCGUGAUUCUUUACUCUUGUGGCACUGAGAGGUUUGUACAUGUCUUUAAGCCAGAGCGGCUUUCUGAAUGAAAAAAGUCCAUCCUAGAAGAUAGAAAGGGAAAUAUUAAUUUUGCAUGUCCUCUGCUUUCCCUGGUCACAGCAAUGAAUCCUCCAAUGUACCUGACUCUCCCUUUGCGAAGAGCAUCUCCGUGGCAGAAAUCUGAAAAUGCCCCUGGGGAGACACAUGCACAAGACAGUUCGUGAGCCACACAUCUCCCCACACCAAGCUCCUCCAUACAAGACCUCGGACUGCAUCACGUAAAUGCUUUUUCAGGGGCAAAAUCUAGAGAAUCUGAAACGAGCUAUCAGCUUCCCAGUUUGCACAAUUCAUCAAGAAAUUAUGCGGGGUCACUGGCACAAAUGAUGAGGCAUCUCCUGGAAGCUUAACUUCUUAUCCAUCCCAUCUCUUGGACAGAUGAUGCCAGUUAAUUACUUUGAAUAGAAGACUCACUGGUGGCACCUGCAGCUGCGGCGUUUUCCCCAAGGGGUCUGUCACACGCAGCCCAACUCAACUGGAGUCCUGAGAAGGUGAACAGACCAGGAUGGAUGGCCAGGGAACUCACCAGAAGUCCCCAGGCAUCAGAACAAGGUCGAAGCAUCCUGAUUAGGGUACCAGAGGCCCAGGCAGUACUUUUGGGGUAGACGAGGUACAGACCUUUGGCUCCUCACUGUCUUCAAGCCCACAAGAAGCAUAGAGCAGAAGAAGACAGAGGAGGGCCCAUCUGGCCCACUACCUGUUCUUCCAGGUGCUCACCUUCUAGCACAUUCUUCAAGAGUUACUCUGAGGCAAGCCAGCCGCCAUGUCAUGAGGACACUCAAGCAGCACCAUGGAGAGGUCCGAUGGCGAGGAACAGAGGAUCCCCCUGCCGACAGCCAAUGAGGAACAGGCCUCCUGCCAACAGCCGUGUAAGGGGUCACCUUGGAAGCCAAUGGCCCCUCCCUGGUCAGGCUUUUACAUGACUGCAGUCCUGGCCAACAUCCUGACGGCAACCUCAUGAGAGACCUUGAGCCAGAGCCACCCACCUAAGCUGCUUAUAGGUUCCUGGCCCUCAGAAAUCACAUGAGAUCAUAAAUGUUUGCUCAAUUUGAGAUAUUUGUGAUGUAGCAAUAAAUAACAAACACACUUA